UGGGGAAUAUUGCACAAUGUGGGAAACCCUGAUGCAGCGACGCCGCGUGAAGGAAGAAGUAUUUCGGUAUGUAAACUUCUAUCAGCAGGGAAGAAGAUGACGGUACCUGAGUAAGAAGCACCGGCUAAAUACGUGCCAGCAGCCGCGGUAAUACGUAUGGUGCAAGCGUUAUCCGGAUUUACUGGGUGUAAAGGGAGCGUAGACGGAUAGGCAAGUCUGGAGUGAAAACCCAGGGCUCAACUCUGGGACUGCUUUGGAAACUGCAGAUCUGGAGUGCCGGAGAGGUAAGCGGAAUUCCUAGUGUAGCGGUGAAAUGCGUAGAUAUUAGGAGGAACACCAGUGGCGAAGGCGGCUUACUGGACAGUGACUGACGUUGAGGCUCGAAAGCGUGGGGAGCAAACAGG
RNAcentral lists this ribosomal RNA (404 nucleotides) under Acidobacteriota bacterium. RNAcentral's name for it is "Acidobacteria bacterium partial 16S ribosomal RNA". It matches the Rfam family "Bacterial small subunit ribosomal RNA", at positions 355 to 776 of the family's 1533-position model. The record is from RNAcentral. Lineage: Bacteria; Pseudomonadati; Acidobacteriota.